GCUCCCAUAGGAGUCCGGGCGGAGUCCACCUGCAGUUGGCGUCGGGGGCGAAGUCUGGCUCCCGUAGGAGUCCGGAUGGAGUCUUCCUGCAGCCGGAGUUGGGGACGAGGUCCGGCUCCCGUGGGAGCCUGGGCGAAGUCCACCUGCAAUUAAAGUCAGGGACGGAGUCCGGCUCCCGUAGGAGUCCGGAGAGAGUUUACCAGC
RNAcentral lists this long non-coding RNA (204 nucleotides) under Elaeis guineensis (African oil palm). RNAcentral's name for it is "long non-coding RNA (EGUI_LNC059565)". The record is from RNAcentral. Lineage: Eukaryota; Viridiplantae; Streptophyta; Magnoliopsida; Arecales; Arecaceae.